CCUACGGGCUGCAGCAGUGGGGAAUAUUGGACAAUGGGCGAAAGCCUGAUCCAGCCAUGCCGCGUGUGUGAAGAAGGCCUUCGGGUUGUAAAGCACUUUCAGUGGGGAAGAAAGCCUUGGGGCUAAUACCCUCGAGGAAGGACAUCACCCACAGAAGAAGCACCGGCUAACUCCGUGCCAGCAGCCGCGGUAAUACGGAGGGUGCGAGCGUUAAUCGGAAUUACUGGGCGUAAAGCGCGCGUAGGCGGUCUGAUAAGCCGGUUGUGAAAGCCCCGGGCUCAACCUGGGAACGGCAUCCGGAACUGUCAGGCUAGAGUGCAGGAGAGGAAGGUAGAAUUCCCGGUGUAGCGGUGAAAUGCGUAGAGAUCGGGAGGAAUACCAGUGGCGAAGGCGGCCUUCUGGACUGACACUGACGCUGAGGUGCGAAAGCGUGGGUAGCAAACAGGAUUAGAUACCCUUGUAGUC
Molecule: ribosomal RNA, 465 nt
Filed under: Vreelandella stevensii
Lineage: Bacteria; Pseudomonadati; Pseudomonadota; Gammaproteobacteria; Oceanospirillales; Halomonadaceae
Description: partial 16S ribosomal RNA
Rfam family: Bacterial small subunit ribosomal RNA
Source: RNAcentral